GAUCAAGCUACUAAGGGCUUAUGGUGGAUGCCUUGGUGCCAGUAGGCGAUGAAGGACGUAGCAAAUUGCGAUAAGCUGCGGUGAGCCGUUGAGCAGGCUUUGACCCGCAGAUUUCCUAAUGGGGCAACCCAUCUGGUCUAAAACCAGAUAUCUUUGGAUGAAUUCAUAGUCCAAAGAAGCGAUACGGGGUGAAGUGAAACAUCUCAGUAACCCCAGGAAAAGAAAACGAAGUGAUUCCGUAAGUAGUGGCGAGCGAAAGCGGAACAGCCUAAACCAUGAUGACUUGUCAUCGUGGGGUUGUGGGACUUCAACGUGGACCUCUAAGAGCGAGCUUAACGAUUUGGAACAAUCGACCAAAGACCGUGAUAGUCGGGUGAGCGAAGUUUGAGGGGGCCUAGAAGUAUCCCAAGUAAUGCGGUGCACGUGAAACUCUGCAUGAAUCUGUCCAGACCACUGGAUAAGGCUAAAUACUAACUGGCAACCGACAGUGAACAAGUACCGUGAGGGAAAGGUGAAAAGAACCCUUUUUAAGGGAGUCAAAUAGAUCUGAAACCAUAUGCCUACAAUGUGUAGGAGCACCGCAAGGUGUGACUGCUUGCCUUUUGCAUAAUGAGUCUGCGAGUUAUUAUCAGUGGCCUGCCUAACUCUCUCUGAGAGUCAGGCGCAGCGAAAGCGAGUACGAAUAGUGCGACUAGUCGCUGGUAAUAGACCCGAAGCGGAGGUGAUCUACUCUUGAGCAGGUUGAAGCCUAGGUAACACUGGGUGAAGGACCGAACUCGUGGAUGUUGAAAAAUCCUGAGAUGACUUGAGAGUAGGAGCGAAAGACUAAUCAAACCCCGUGAUAGCUGGUUCUCUCCGAAAUAGCUUGAGGGCUAGCGUUGGAUAAGUACUCCUAGGAGGUAGAGCACUGAAUGGCUUAGGGGCCCCACCAGGCUGCCAAAACCAAUCAAACUCCAAAUUCCAAGGAUCCCAUUAUUCCAGCAUUCAGGCCGUGGGGGAUAAGCUUCAUGGCCGAGAGGGCAACAGCCCAGACCGCCAGCUAAGGUGCCUAAAUGUCGUUAAGUGGAAAGGAUGUAACGUUGCUUAGACAGUGAGGAUGUUGGCUUAGAGGCAGCCACCAUUUAAACAGUGCGUAAUAGCUGACUCAUCGAGCGAUGUUGCGCCGAAAAUGAUUGGCGAUUAAACGAUAUACCGAAGCUGCGGAUUGACCAGUGGUUCGCCACAGGUCAGUGGUAGGAGAGCGUAAUCGAUGCGCCGAAGCCGAACUGAAAAGGACGGUGGAGCGUCGAUUAGUGAGAAUGCAGACAUGAGUAGCGAUAAAACAGAUGAGAAUUCUGUUCGCCGUAAACCUAAGGUUUCCUGGGGCAGGUUCGUCCUCCCAGGGUUAGUCGGGAGCUAAGAUGAGACCGUAAGGUGUAAUCGAUGCACAGCAGGUAUAACAUUCCUGCACCGGCUAGGGCGCUGCGUAGAGUGGACGCGAAGAGGGACAGAGUUAGGUCAUUGAUAGACUGAGCUGCGGCUUCGGCCAAUGCGUACUUUGAAACGAUUCGCCUAGAAAAGACUCUACGAUUAUCCCUAGUCGCCCGUACCGUAAACCGACACAGGUGGGUGGGUCGAGUAGACCAAGGCGCACGAGAGAAACCUCUCUAAGGAACUCGGCAAAUUAGCCCCGUAACUUCGGGAGAAGGGGUGCCUGCUUCGGCAGGCCUCAGUAAAUUGCGUUUAGCGACUGUUUAACAAAAACACAGCACUCUGCAACGUCGUCAAGACAACGUAUAGGGUGUGACACGUGACCAAUGCGGAAAGAUCAAGGCAAGUUGUUAGCCGCAAGGCGAAGCUCCGAACCUAAGUCCCCGUGAAUGUCGGCCGUAACUAUAACGGUCCUAAGGUAGCGAAAUUCCUUGUCGGGUAAGUUCCGACCUGCACGAAUCGUGUAACGACUGAACGACUGUCUCGGAGAGGAUCUCGGCGAAAUUGUAACGGCGGUGAAGAUGCCGCCUGCCCGCAGUAGGACGGAAAGACCCUAUGCACCUUUACUGUAAGCUCGUAGUGGGUUCUGGUUAUUUAUGCUUAGCGUAGGUGGGAGACUUUGAAGGCAUGGCUUCGGUUGUGUCUGAGUCGCAAUGUGAAACACCACUCUUAGAUAAUUAGGAUUCUAACCCCAAUUCCUGUUAGCCAGGUGGGGGACAGUGCGUGCGGGUCAGUUUGACUGGGGCGGUUUCCUCCCAAAGAGUAACGGAGGAGCGCGAAGCUUGGUUCAGUACGGUUGGCAACCGUACGUCGAGCGUAUGGGUAUAAGCCAGGUUAACUGUGAGACCAACAAGUCGAGCAGAUGCGAAAGCAGGCCCAAAUGAUCCGAUGGUUGAAUGUGGAAUUGCCAUCGCUCAACGGACAAAAGGUACGCUAGGGAUAACAGGCUGAUCGGUUCCAAGAGUUCAUAUCGACGAACCGGUUUGGCACCUCGAUGUCGGCUCAUCGCAUCCUGGGGCUGGAGAAGGUCCCAAGGGUCCGGCUGUUCGCCGGUUAAAGCGGUACGCGAGCUGGGUUCAGAACGUCGUGAGACAGUUCGGUCCUUAUCCACUGUGGGCG
RNAcentral lists this ribosomal RNA (2589 nucleotides) under Verrucomicrobiales bacterium. RNAcentral describes it as "partial 23S ribosomal RNA". It matches the Rfam family "Bacterial large subunit ribosomal RNA". Lineage: Bacteria; Pseudomonadati; Verrucomicrobiota; Verrucomicrobiia; Verrucomicrobiales. The record is from RNAcentral.